GUGGGGAAUCUUGCGCAAUGGGCGAAAGCCUGACGCAGCCAUGCCGCGUGAAUGAUGAAGGUCUUAGGAUUGUAAAAUUCUUUCACCGGGGACGAUAAUGACGGUACCCGGAGAAGAAGCUCCGGCUAACUUCGUGCCAGCAGCCGCGGUAAUACGAAGGGGGCUAGCGUUGCUCGGAAUUACUGGGCGUAAAGGGCGCGUAGGCGGACAGCUUAGUCAGAGGUGAAAGCCCAGGGCUCAACCUUGGAAUUGCCUUUGAUACUGACUGUCUUGAGUUUGGGAGAGGUGAGUGGAACUCCGAGUGUAGAGGUGAAAUUCGUAGAUAUUCGGAAGAACACCAGUGGCGAAGGCGACUCACUGGCCCAAUACUGACGCUGAGGCGCGAAAGCGUGGGGAGCAAACAGGAUUAGAUACCCUUGUAGUCC
Molecule: ribosomal RNA, 425 nt
Filed under: uncultured bacterium
Lineage: Bacteria
Description: partial 16S ribosomal RNA
Rfam family: Bacterial small subunit ribosomal RNA
Source: RNAcentral